This 221-nucleotide unclassified non-coding RNA is filed under the name Hevea brasiliensis (rubber tree). Lineage: Eukaryota; Viridiplantae; Streptophyta; Magnoliopsida; Malpighiales; Euphorbiaceae. The record is from RNAcentral.
CAGCAAUUUCAAGUGGCCACAGCUUGAUCCGAAAGAUUCAACGCCAAGUCCAGCUGAGAAGCUACUGUCUUAUGAUAAUCCAUCGGAGUUGAUUGCAUCUGCUAGCACUAGUUCAUCUUUUCCUGAUAUGGAAUCUGAUGAAAUCUCCUUGUCAAGACAGACUGCUGAUGAGCUAGAACCAGAAGAUGAACAAGCCGAGAUGAACAAUCCACCGGGCAAUG